Molecule: non-coding RNA, 119 nt
Organism: Gossypium arboreum
Lineage: Eukaryota; Viridiplantae; Streptophyta; Magnoliopsida; Malvales; Malvaceae
Source: Rfam
GGGUGCGAUCAUACCAGCACUAAUGCACCGGAUCCCAUCAGAACUCCAUAGUUAAGCGUGUGUGGGCGAGAGUUGAACUAGGAUGGGUGACCUCCUGGGAAGUCCUCAUGUUGCACCCC